Long non-coding RNA from Zingiber officinale, 825 nucleotides. RefSeq lists it as uncharacterized. Lineage: Eukaryota; Viridiplantae; Streptophyta; Magnoliopsida; Zingiberales; Zingiberaceae. The record is from RefSeq and is a predicted model, not a curated record. The transcript is spliced from 2 exons.
UCGUUUUUCACCCGUGCCUUCGCCCGACUCACCGCCGAAGCCUUCUUCUCUUCUCUUCCCCUUUUUCCUCUUCGUCGAGCUCACGCCGCCGCCCUCUCCUCUCUUCUCCCGAUCGCGUGCCCUAGCCAUCCUCGCGCCGAUUUCCUCUCCCUCCUCCCUCUCGCUCUGAUCCCUCCCCUCUUCUCCACCUCAUGCCAACCCCCCUUCCGAUCUCCCUGUGUGCCACUGCCGACCACCACGGACCCACGAUCGGUCGUUGCAGCCUGAAGCCUACCGCCACGACCCGACACUAGUCGCAAGAAGCUGAGCACCAUCUUCUUCACCGACGCGUCGCUGGCGUCGAUCGACAGUUGGCCUCGUGCCCUAGCCGUUCCUCUUCACCGUCGGCUGCUAGGCCGACGUCGGAGCAUAGGCGUUGCCGUUGGCCCCUUUCUAGUUACAAGUCUUCAUCUUUCCUUGGGUCGUGACCUAGUUUUGGAUCCACGACACCAUUGACAACCAGUAGCGGGCUCUGCUAGUAGCUAGUCCGAUCUGUGCCACCCGUGAUUGCUGAAGAGGAAGAGGACGUUGCUUCGAAACGAGCAUUUCGACGUGAGAUUUGUUCCAAUACGAACUACUGAUUAAGGCGGGUACCUUUUGACUUAUCUCUUUUGAUAAUGUCAUUUUGAUAUACAUAGUAGGUUAUAGCUAGUAGCAAUGAUCAUGUUAUAUUUGCCUUUAUAUGCCACUACUAGAUACCUGUAGCUUGUUUUUAUUGUUGUCUGAUAUGCAUUCAUGUUUAUAUACUCUUGAUUAUUAUCAUGUGUAUUUUGUUUCCUAGAGGUA